AGUGAACGCUGGCGGUAGGCCUAACACAUGCAAGUCGAACGGCAGCACAGUAAGAGCUUGCUCUUACGGGUGGCGAGUGGCGGACGGGUGAGGAAUACAUCGGAAUCUACUUUUUCGUGGGGGAUAACGUAGGGAAACUUACGCUAAUACCGCAUACGACCUACGGGUGAAAGCAGGGGAUCUUCGGACCUUGCGUGAUUGAAUGAGCCGAUGUCGGAUUAGCUAGUUGGCGGGGUAAAGGCCCACCAAGGCGACGAUCCGUAGCUGGUCUGAGAGGAUGAUCAGCCACACUGGAACUGAGACACGGUCCAGACUCCUACGGGAGGCAGCAGUGGGGAAUAUCGGACAAUGGGCGCAAGCCUGAUCCAGCCAUACCGCGUGGGUGAAGAAGGCCUUCGGGUUGUAAAGCCCUUUUGUUGGGAAAGAAAAGCAGCAGGUUAAUACCCCGCUGUUCUGACGGUACCCAAAGAAUAAGCACCGGCUAACUUCGUG
Molecule: ribosomal RNA, 492 nt
Filed under: uncultured bacterium
Lineage: Bacteria
Description: partial 16S ribosomal RNA
Rfam family: Bacterial small subunit ribosomal RNA
Source: RNAcentral